This 402-nucleotide ribosomal RNA is filed under the name uncultured Eubacteriales bacterium. Its description in RNAcentral is "uncultured Clostridiales bacterium partial 16S ribosomal RNA". It matches the Rfam family "Bacterial small subunit ribosomal RNA", at positions 355 to 774 of the family's 1533-position model. The record is from RNAcentral. Lineage: Bacteria; Bacillati; Bacillota; Clostridia; Eubacteriales.
UGGGGAAUAUUGCACAAUGGGGGAAACCCUGAUGCAGCAACGCCGCGUGAGCGAUGAAGGCCUUCGGGUCGUAAAGCUCUGUCUUAGCUGACGAUAAUGACGGUAAGCUAGGAGGAAGCCACGGCUAACUACGUGCCAGCAGCCGCGGUAAUACGUAGGUGGCAAGCGUUGUCCGGAAUUACUGGGCGUAAAGGGAGCGUAGGCGGUUUAUUAAGUGAGAUGUGAAAUACCCGGGCUUAACUUGGGAAUUGCAUUUCAAACUGGUUGACUAGAGUGCAGGAGAGGAAAGUGGAAUUCCCAGUGUAGCGGUGAAAUGCGUAGAGAUUGGGAGGAACACCAGUGGCGAAGGCGACUUUCUGGACUGUAACUGACGCUGAUGCUCGAGAGCGUGGGGAGCAAACA